Molecule: long non-coding RNA, 1495 nt
Organism: Austrofundulus limnaeus
Lineage: Eukaryota; Metazoa; Chordata; Actinopteri; Cyprinodontiformes; Rivulidae
Exons: 2
Source: RefSeq, a predicted model, not a curated record
AUCUGAGAGACAAACCAGAGACUCACUGAAAUACUGUGUACACAUACUGAUACGUACCUGCUACACACAGUACCUGAUACUUAGUAUGACAACCAGGAUACAAAUAUUAAGUUAAUGUAAGUAGAAUGUGUGCUGACGCAACAUUUAUGUACCGGCUACUACAUGCCAGGAGUGUAAUCACCAAGUACCAGGUUAAUAUCCAUACACGUAGUAGGUAAGUAUUGGGUAAAUACCAGCUGUAAAAUUGAGGUCACCCCUAAAGGUACUGGGAAAAAUAGGUACUAAAGUACAAAAGUACUAACAGCGUUCCCACGGGUCCUUAAAAUCCUUGAAAGUUUGAAAAAAAAUAUUUAAAGGCCCUGGAAAAUUUGUGAAAAAAGCCAAAAAUUACACUUGUCCUUGAAAGUCCUUGAAUGUCUUUUGGGGAUUGAAAUUCUCUGUUCACACGGCUGAUUUCAUCAUCKUUAAAACAAUAAAUUAUAAAAUUAAAUUUAAAAAUACUUACAUUUGUUGUGGUGGAUAACAGGAUCACAGUAAACUGACGUCACUGAUUCUGACUCAACAACUUGUGUUGUUCAGUUUUUCAUUGAAUUUACAGGAAAUUAAACCUGUUUAUUGGUAAAACUCUGUGGUAGCAGCAGGUAACUGCUGCUGUGCUUGGUUCUUUAAUUUGAGGAAACUGGUACUGGAAAGUCCUUGAAAGGUCCUUGAAUUUGAUGUUGACCAAGGUGUGGGAACCCUGUACUAAACAACAUACUGUAGGUACUGGGGAGUAUAGGUACUGAAGAUAAUGGGUACUAAAAUACAUAGGUACUGGGAAGUAUAGGUAAUAAAGAACAGUAGUACAGGGGAACAUAGAUACUAAAGAACACAGGUACUGGGAAUAGGUACUAAAGAAGAACUCAGGUACUAAAGAACUGAAGUAUUAGAGAACAUAGAUACUAAAUAACAUACUAGGAAGUAUAGGUACUAAAGAACAUAGGUACUAGAGAGUAAAGGUACAAAAGUACAUGAAUACUGGGAAGUAUAGGUACUAAAGAACACAGGUACUAAAGUACAUGAAUACUGGGAAGUUUAGGUACUAAAGAACAUAAGUACUAAAGAACACAGGUACUAGAGAAUAAAGGUAUUAAAGUACAUGAAUACUGGGAAGUAUAGGUACUAAAGAACACAGGUAUUAAAGAACACAGGUACUAAAGAACACAGGCGCUAAAGAACACAGGCACUAAAGAACACAGGCGCUAAAGAACACAAGUACUAGAGAACACAGGUACUAGAGAACACAGAUACUAAAGAACACAGGUACUAGAGAACACAGGUGCUAAAGAACACAGGUGCUAAAGAACACAGGUGCUAAAGAACACAGGUACUAGAGAACACAGGUGCUAAAGAACACAGGUGCUAAAGAACACAGGCGCUAAAGAACACAGGCGCUAAAGAACACAGGCGCUAAAGAACACAGGCACUAAAGAACACAGGCACUAAAGAACACAGG